RNAcentral lists this long non-coding RNA (3165 nucleotides) under Canis lupus familiaris (dog). Its description in RNAcentral is "lncRNA (ENSCAFG00845007995.1)". The record is from RNAcentral. Lineage: Eukaryota; Metazoa; Chordata; Mammalia; Carnivora; Canidae.
UUUUUUUUUUUGUCCUGAUCCAAAUUGUUUUCUUCCAUGAAAUAUAGCUUUAAAACAAAACAAGAAAAACCUCAGGAUUUCCAGCUGCUUCUUUAUUUAAAUAUUUGAGCGGAUUUAAAAAGGACAGUUUCCAGAACCUACCUGGUACCAGAAAAACCUCACUAUCAGAUAAAGGGGAGAAAAAAAAAGUCUUACCCAGAAGGGUUUACAUUAGGAAAUGCCCCCUUAGCGGAUCUCUGGGUGGCUCAGUGGUUUAGUGCCCAGGGCGUGAUCCUGGAGUCCCGGAUUCGAGUCCCGCAUCAGGCUCACUGCGUGGAGCCUGCUUCUCCCUCUGCCUGUGUCUCUGCCUCUCUCUCUCUCUCUCUCUCAUGAAUAAAUAAAUAAAAUAUUUUAAAAAAAGAAGUGCCUCCUUGGAUUUUCCAAUCAUCCAAGAUUGUCCCUGAGAAGGGAGAGUUUACUGAUCACCAGGACCUACUUUUGAAACUAAUCGUAGGUGCAUUGUUUAAAGUCUUUGUGUAUUCCUUAUCUUAAAAAAGAAUUUAAAAAAAUAUAACUACUAGUAUUGUGAAGACCACAUAAGAGAGAGCAUACACCAAGUGCCUGACACGUAGUAGGUCCCCAGCAUCAGGGCCCCACCUCACAGAGUCUGGAAUGGAGGUAAUGUGUGCACGUAUGCAUGUGAUAUGUUGAAGCAGGGAAUAGUAUUAAGAACAGGCCCACAGGAAUGGAGAGUUUAUUGUCCCACAGGUAUUUUUUCUGAGAGAUCUCAAGCAAAACUCGAACUGGUUUAUAGUAGUACAUUCAUGUUCGUAAAAAACUAAAGAUCCUUAAAUCUGUUAAAGGACUGUGACCUUGCUGUAACUACUAGAGAUAUAAAGGAAGUAUUAAGAAUUUGUCAAGAAGGAGGAGCCUGAAUGGCUCAAUUAGUUGAGCGUCCGACUCUUGAUUUCAGCUUGGGUCAUGAUUUCAGAGUCAUGAGAUCAAGCUCUUAUGUUGGGCUCCAUGCUCAUCAAGGAAUCUACUUGGGAUUCUCUCUCUCCUUCUUCCUCUGCCCAUCUCCCCCCACUCAUGCUCGCUAUCUAAAAUAAAAUUAACAAAUCUUUUAUUUUAAAAAAAGGAAUUUAUUGAGGAAAUAUAAGAAGCUAACUUUCAUUCUUGAUCCUAUGGUCUUCUAUUGACUAUCGAUCAUAUGACUUUUACUGACCCAUGAUAGGGUCCCAUGGAUACUAGAAUGUGGAGAGCUGAAAGUACCUGGUUAGAGCUUUUGCCAUCAUUCAGAUAUGAGAAGUUAAGUGCGUGGAAGGUACUGGAUAGAGACCAUGCAGAAAAGAGAAGAGGCGUAAUACAAGAGAACACAGGAAGGCAGAAACAUCAGGGCUUGGCUACUGUUUUGAAAUGGCAAGUAACUUUUUUCCACUUUUAGCUAAUGUAUGUUCUAAUAUUUCUAUUAACAAGUGUGUAACAUUUCUAUAAAAAUAACAACAUUUCUUAAAAAUUUGUAAAGAGACAUAGUCCAAAAAAGAAGGCAUUAAUGUUUACUUAAGACUUUAAUCUUGAGUGCCUGGGAGAGAAUGCUGGUGCCAUUCAUACACACUUGGAAAAAUCCAGAAAAGCAAGUUUUCAAGAGGAUAGUGAUAGAUUUAUCCAGAGACUUGAAUCUGAAAUAUUGGUAGGACAUACAACAGCAACAGACACAUAGCAAGUGCACGCUAAAUGCCUGUCAGGAGAAUAAAAUAAUCGUAUAGACUAUCAGCUCUGAGAACUAAGGAACACCACAUACAACAGCUAGACCAGACUCUUUACAAAGCCAGUUACACAGAAGACUAAAGAGCCCUGGUUGUCACAGGAGAAAGAGAGUGCAGAUGAGUUUGGAAAAUCCUGGACGAAACUAUGCACACAAGUUUCUUCACACUUUGGAGGGUACUAAAAUGGCAGGUGAUGAGCAGUGACCCAAGGAGGCAACCAGGAAGGAAAGAAGGUGGUUCCUGUCCUCUAUGCCAGCCAGGAUGAAGGGUUGGACCACAUCAUGUGGGGCCUCAAACAGACUUACAACUUGUCGUCUUCUCCCAAAGGCAUUAAAAUGUUGGGUAAGUGCUCAUGUAGAAGAGUGGCUGAGAGCUUCAGACAGGAAGGAUGGAAGAGGUGGUCGAACUCGAUCUUUUCUAUAAUGUCCCCAGCGAUCCGACCCUAGCCCAGACUGCCACAUCCUGCUCGGCAAACCAGUCAGUGGCUUCCAUCCUCCUCGGGAGGCAGUUCAGGAAGCAUCCAUUGCUACUCAAUGUGCCUCUUGAGAUGAUCAGCCUCCCAUCCCAAGCAGCACAAUCAUGACAAACCAGUUUUGUCUCUGCCCUGAGUAGAGUUCUGAUCAAUUUGACCCUGUCUUCCUUUCACUCUCAGUGCUAGUUAAUGUCCUUUCCAGAGGGGUGCCCCAGUGACCUGCCCUGCUGCCCCACCUGGGACCCCACUUUGGCUGAGAUGAGACCCAUGAGGUCUGUCCUUUUCUGUUACCAUCACCAAGUCCAAGAUGAGGAACACACAAUCCUCUUUCAGUUAAAACAACUCCACCGAGUUGAGCAAGAGAGGGGUACUUAUUUUCCCCUUAGAGUUUAAAUUGUCAGCUGACUCCGAAGUAUUGAGGCAGAAAAGUGAACAUGCAGGGUUAGUGGUACCUCUCCAAAAGACCUGGAGAUGUUUCAUGGCCCCAUGACCCUCAGAAAUGGAGCCAGGGAAACCGCUAUGCUUUUCUGCAAGUGCCAGAAUGACAGCGGGGGGAGUCACCCCUGGGCCGGCAUGUUCUGAACUCUUGUAACCUGGCAGCAGCCCCCCCGAAUCUCUCACUAAUGCCAAGAGCAGCUGCAGGCUGGGAUCCCAAGCAGAAUCUCAUCAACAACAGCAACUAAGUAUCUGCUCUGCUGUACUAGGCUUCCCCUGAAUUGUUCCAUGAUGGGGUCAUUUUUCUGUCACCACCUGCAUCACUGCCUCCCCCACCCCCACCCCCCGCACUGUGAGAAUCACUCAAGAUAAAGCUUCAAGGGAUGGGUCCCGCUUACUUAACAAUCAAUGAGUCGUCUCCAUUAUUCCCUCAAUGUAUCUGUUUUCACUAAACACCUGCAACCACUGGCUGGUCCCGAGAGGCACAUCUCCCCCACCCCCCACCCCCGCCCC